RNAcentral lists this ribosomal RNA (808 nucleotides) under uncultured bacterium. Its description in RNAcentral is "bacterial SSU rRNA". It matches the Rfam family "Bacterial small subunit ribosomal RNA", at positions 8 to 803 of the family's 1533-position model. The record is from RNAcentral.
AGAGUUUGAUCCUGGCUCAGGAUGAACGCUAGCUACAGGCUUAACACAUGCAAGUCGAGGGGAAACGAUAUUGGAAGCUUGCUUCCGAUAGGCGUCGACCGGCGCACGGGUGAGUAACGCGUAUCCAACCUGCCCACCACUUGGGGAUAACCUUGCGAAAGUAAGACUAAUACCCAAUGAUAUCUCUAGAAGACAUCUGAAAGGGAUUAAAGAUUUAUCGGUGAUGGAUGGGGAUGCGUCUGAUUAGCUUGUUGGCGGGGUAACGGCCCACCAAGGCGACGAUCAGUAGGGGUUCUGAGAGGAAGGUCCCCCACAUUGGAACUGAGACACGGUCCAAACUCCUACGGGAGGCAGCAGUGAGGAAUAUUGGUCAAUGGGCGAGAGCCUGAACCAGCCAAGUAGCGUGCAGGAUGACGGCCCUAUGGGUUGUAAACUGCUUUUAUAAGGGAAUAAAGUGAGUCUCGUGAGACUUUUUGCAUGUACCUUAUGAAUAAGGACCGGCUAAUUCCGUGCCAGCAGCCGCGGUAAUACGGAAGGUCCGGGCGUUAUCCGGAUUUAUUGGGUUUAAAGGGAGCGUAGGCCGGAGAUUAAGCGUGUUGUGAAAUGUAGACGCUCAACGUCUGCACUGCAGCGCGAACUGGUUUCCUUGAGUACGCACAAAGUGGGCGGAAUUCGUGGUGUAGCGGUGAAAUGCUUAGAUAUCACGAAGAACUCCGAUUGCGAAGGCAGCUCACUGGAGCGCAACUGACGCUGAAGCUCGAAAGUGCGGGUAUCGAACAGGAUUAGAUACCCUGGUAGUCCGCACGGU